UUACUAUCAGUAGGACCGGCGAGAGAGGCUGCCCACGCACCUCUAUUUCCGUCUGUGGCGAUUCCCAUCGCAUCCUUCCCAAACAGAGUGCCUCGCCAGUUCCCCACGGCAGCGGAUUCCCCUUCGUCUUCAUCUUCUCCAAUCUUCAUCAAAUCCCACUACACAACAAUUACUUUGUUGAUUCAGUUGCUCUUACGAUCUGGUAUUUAUCUCCGGGCCGCUUGCGAUUUGGCAAGGUAAGCGAUGGCGAGGACGUGCCCCCUUGCAACGAGAUCCACAGGCAGUCGUCGCAGCCCUGCCUCCGGCUUCCCCAACGUAGGGGCCCCCACCCUGGAAGAAGUGCGCCUCUCGGCGGAUGCCACUGUGCCGACAUCGAUUCCGGCCACUAUCGGCGAUUACCUUGCCGCCCUGUGUCGGGUGCCUCGACAGAAGGCCGGGAGGCUCCCGGUGGAGCGGCCAACCCAUCUCGGUGCCGCUCAACUUCCCCACCUCGCAUUCGCUGGGCUCUCGCUUGGAUGGACGCUCUUCCCGGCUACUCAGCCAUGGAGUGGACAUCGCGCCCGGGAGGUCUCCAGCCGGUGGACCUUUUUAUUUUCGGCCUUGAAGGGCUGUGCUGGUGGUGACAUCGGGUAGGGCCUCCAUUGAUAUUGAUAGCCAUGACUUGCAGGAGUGCUAGAUCGACGUCCUCCCGCAGGUGCCGCCUCGGCUGAUUCAGAGACGACAUUGACUGCGGCAAUGGUGGCCCUUCAUAGCAAGUGACAUUCUACUGCAGCAGUGGUGCCUUUUUGCUUUGGGGCAUCUGCGCUGGAAGUCUGGCUCCUUUCUAUCAGCGAUGGAUUUGCAAGGUAUUCAGUAAUUGAUGGUUGGAGCUCCCUAUCCUAAUAAUAUCCGAGAUGGUGCUCCCCAUCAUCUCAGGUGGUGCGCACUGGACGACGACCAAGUAGUCAUCUUCGUCGGUCCGUUCACUGCAUAUACAUACUCUGCAGAUUUUUGUCUCCCUACUGGUACAUAUUCUUCCCAAGUUCUCCUCCAGGUUUAUGAAAUGGCUAUUUUUAUACUGAUAGUAACUCGAGUAUAGCACCUAUUGUAGUACUACUGUGUUAUAACAGAUAUAAGUAAGAUUUGUUUGAUUUCAGGCGACGAUUCCCCUGUCCCCAACACUCACUGAUAGUAUUUUGUUUGUUCCAUAUGGCAGUAUUGAGACUAAAUUGGAGAGAGAACAAACUUGAUACACUUGGUAAUGUUGGUCAUCCGAAAGCUUCAGAAAUACUCCCUCCGUUCCACAAUAUAUAUGUAAUAUCGGACGGAGGGAGUAUCAUUUAGUGACGGGCAAAAUGUAUUGAUGCAUGUACAGAAUGUCAACAAAUGUUACUUACUCAUUUUAUUGUUAUGUAAUACCCCUUCCGUUCCAAAAUAGAUGACAAAGUUAGUACAAAGUUGAGUCAUCUAUUUUGGAACGGAGGGAGUACAAGGAUACGUGAAUGUGCUGUAUCUAAAUCUGAUCUAUAUACCAAUAUCGACGAACCAUCUAAAUGGCUGAGAUGAUGUAAUGUAACUAAAACCUUUAGCCUAACUUGAAGCAUGGACAUAAAAGAUUAAUUUUUA
Long non-coding RNA from Triticum aestivum (bread wheat), 1605 nucleotides. RefSeq lists it as uncharacterized. Lineage: Eukaryota; Viridiplantae; Streptophyta; Magnoliopsida; Poales; Poaceae. The record is from RefSeq and is a predicted model, not a curated record. The transcript is spliced from 2 exons.